UACAGGGGGUGCAAACGUUGCUCGGAAUCAUUGGGCGUAAAGCGCACGUAGGCGGUUCGUUAUGUCGGAUGUGAAAGCCCUUGGCUUAACCGAGGAAGUGCAUCCGAAACUGGCGAGCUAGAGUACGAAAGAGGGUCGCGGAAUUCCCGGUGUAGAGGUGAAAUUCGUAGAUAUCGGGAGGAACACCGGUGGCGAAGGCGGCGAUCUGGGUCGAUACUGACGCUGAGGUGCGAAAGCGUGGGGAGCAAGCAGG
This 253-nucleotide ribosomal RNA is filed under the name uncultured bacterium. RNAcentral describes it as "partial 16S ribosomal RNA". It matches the Rfam family "Bacterial small subunit ribosomal RNA", at positions 524 to 776 of the family's 1533-position model. The record is from RNAcentral.